UUUUAGGAUGAGUCACAGCUGGAAGGAGGAGGCAGAAAAGAAAGAUCUUGACACUCUAGAUGAUGGGCCAAAUGUAGCAACAUGAAUUGUGUGGGGAUCAAUGCCAGUAUCUUUCCUGAGGUUUUACAAAGCCACCUGCCUGCAUACAGGGAGGGGAGUAGCCCUUAAGAGCAACGCUCAUCACAACAAGCCUCCAGGGUCUUGGUUAACUCCGAGUCAUGCAGCUGCCAAGAAAAGAUGGUGUUUGAAGUAGAUCUUGAAGAACAGGCAGAGAGAGUUGUCAUGGACUCAUGGACUAGCAACUGAGGAAGAAUAUCUAACUAGAGGGGUCACCAACAGCAAACAGCACAGGGAUUCCUAGUGAUGAGUUUUCUUUUUAUGUUAUAUAUUCAACAGCAUGCUUCAGUGGUACCACUAUGAGUCUUUAGACCUGGGGAAACUACACCUCGGUAAUAACCGGCCUUAUCACCGGGCCGGCAGUCAUUUAAUAUGCUUCUUUGUCUGACACCAAUCAUGAACUGCAGCGUGGGAUGUCAAGGCUUCUGCAAAUGCCAAUCGCACGCCUCACUGUACAUCAGGCCCAGGGUUCAGAUCUUAUGAUAGGAAAUCCAAGAAUCAACCGCCAGCAGAGUAAUCCAUUUUCUGGAAACAAGAUGUGGACAGUCUCGUUUCCAGCAUCCAGCCCCUUCAGUCUCCCAUGUUAUCUCUGAAAGAGUUAAAAUCACUCUCAAAAGACCAAAGUGAAGAGACUCAAGUGUCACUGUAUUUACACCAUCUAGAUGGAGUGCUAUUUUUGAGUCUUUGGCUUAAGGUGCAGACUUGACUAGGAAAAUCAGAGCUGAAAUGUCAUUUCCAGCUACUUUCUUUGAGAGAUUUCCCAGAUGGAUUGGCUCAGCCCACGAAUCAAAUGGCAUUUUUGUUGUUGUUGUUUCUAACUGCUUGCUGUGUCAACCAGCUGUGUUCGUCCUGCCCCACACUGGAUCCCCCACAUUAAAUGUUUUCUGAUCAGCUGGCAGCUGUUCUGAAGACACACAAAGC
This is a long non-coding RNA of Pan troglodytes (chimpanzee), 1038 nucleotides long. RefSeq lists it as uncharacterized. The record is from RefSeq and is a predicted model, not a curated record. Lineage: Eukaryota; Metazoa; Chordata; Mammalia; Primates; Hominidae. The transcript has 3 exons.